This 609-nucleotide ribosomal RNA is filed under the name Euseius gallicus. RNAcentral describes it as "partial 16S ribosomal RNA". The stretch from base 375 to 536 matches the Rfam family "Archaeal large subunit ribosomal RNA", at positions 2542 to 2701 of the family's 2987-position model. Lineage: Eukaryota; Metazoa; Arthropoda; Arachnida; Mesostigmata; Phytoseiidae. The record is from RNAcentral.
AACGGCCGCGGUACCCUAACCGUGUCGCCUGUUUUACAAAAACAUUUUUUUUAGAUUUUUAUUAAAAAUAAAUUCUGCUCAAUGAUUAAUUUAAUUGCUGGAGUAUUUUGACUCUGCUAAGGUAUUGAAAUAAGAUUUUAAUUGAGUGCUAAGAGAAUGGAUUAAUAAAGAUUAAUUUUAUUUAUUUUAAUAAUUAGAAUUUCAUUUUAAAAUGAAAAAGUUUUAAUUUUUUUAUGGGACAAGAAGACCCUGUGAAUUUUUUUAAAAUUUUAUGAUUAUUUUAUUAUAAAUUUUAUUUUGAUUGGGGCGAUAGAAAAAUAAUGAAUAACUUUAUUUUAAUGAUGUUUUAUAAGUUAAUUAGAAAAUACUCUAGGGAUAACAGCGUUAUUAUUAUGGAUAGUUCAUAUUGGUAUAAUAGUUUGCGACCUCGAUGUUGAAUUAGGUAAACCUGGUUGUUGUAGAGGAUAGCUAAGGAAGAUUGUUCAUCUUUUAAAUUACUACGUGAUCUGAGUUCAGACCGGAUGUUGGAUCAGGACAUCCCAAUGGUGCAGCCGCUAUUAAAGGUUCGUUUGUUCAACGAUUAAAGUCCUACGUGAUCUGAGUUCAGAC